GGCAGCCGCGGUAAUUCCAGCUCCAAUAGCGUAUAUUAAAGUUGUUGUGGUUAAAAGCUCGUAGUAGAACCUUGGGCCUGGCUGGCCGGUCCGCCUCACCGCGUGCACUGGUCCGGCCGGGCCUUUCCCUCUGUGGAACCGCAUGCCCUUCACUGGGUGUGCCGGGGAAACAGGACUUUUACUUUGAAAAAUUAGAGUGCUCCAGGCAGGCCUAUGCUCGAAUACAUUAGCAUGGAAUAAUAGAAUAGGACGUGUGGUUCUAUUUUGUUGGUUUCUAGGACCGCCGUAAUGAUUAAUAGGGACAGUCGGGGACAUCAGUAUUCAAUUGUCAGAGGUGAAAUUCUUGGAUUUAUUGAAGACUAACUACUGCGAAAGCAUUUGCCAAGGAUGUUUUCAUUUAUCAGGAACGAAAGUUAGGGAUCGAAGACGAUCAGAUACCGUCGUAGUCUUAACCAUAAACUAUGCCGACUAGGGAUCGGACGAUGUUAUUUUUGACUUCGUUCGGCACCGUUACGGGAAA
RNAcentral lists this unclassified non-coding RNA (520 nucleotides) under uncultured Paraglomus. RNAcentral describes it as "SSU rRNA". It matches the Rfam family "Eukaryotic small subunit ribosomal RNA", at positions 569 to 1097 of the family's 1831-position model. The record is from RNAcentral. Lineage: Eukaryota; Fungi; Glomeromycota; Glomeromycetes; Paraglomerales; Paraglomeraceae.